UGGUUGUCCCGGGGCAAGUGCGUAGGCCGAGAGAUAGGCAAAUCCGUCUCUCACAUAGGCUGAGACACGAUGCGGAUAAAAAGUGGGUGAUCCUAUGCUGCCAAGAAGAGCAUCGACGCGAGGUUCUAGCCGCCCGUACCCCAAACCGACUCAGGUGGUCAGGUAGAGAAUACCAAGGAGAUCGAGAGAAUCGUGGUUAAGGAACUCGGCAAAAUGCCCCCGUAACUUCGGGAGAAGGGGGGCCUUCGGCGUAUUAGGACUUGCUCCGAAAGCGUUUGGAGGCCGCAGAGACUAGUGGGUAGCGACUGUUUAUUAAAAACACAGGUCCGUGCCAAGUCGCAAGACGAUGUAUACGGACUGACGCCUGCCCGGUGCUGGAAGGUUAAGAGGACCGGUUAGCCGCAAGGCGAAGCUGAGAAUUUAAGCCCCAGUAAACGGCGGUGGUAACUAUAACCAUCCUAAGGUAGCGAAAUUCCUUGUCGGGUAAGUUCCGACCUGCACGAAUGGCGUAACGACUUCCCAACUGUCUCAACCGCGAACUCGGCGAAAUUGCACUACGAGUAAAGAUGCUCGUUACGCGCAGCAGGACGGAAAGACCCCGUGACCUUUACUACAGCUUGGUAUUGGUGUUCGGUGUGGCUUGUGUAGGAUAGGUGGGAGACUUUGAAGCGGUGACGCCAGUUACCGUGGAGUCAUUGUUGAAAUACCACUCUGGUCACUCUGGAUAUCUAACUUCGAACCGUAAUCCGGUUCAGGGACAGUGCCUGGUGGGUAGUUUAACUGGGGCGGUUGCCUCCCAAAAAGUAACGGAGGCGCCCAAAGGUUCCCUCAACCUGGUUGGCAAUCAGGUGUCGAGUGUAAGUGCACAAGGGAGCUUGACUGUGAGACUGACAGGUCGAGCAGGGACGAAAGUCGGGACUAGUGAUCCGGCAGUGGCUUGUGGAAGCGCUGUCGCUCAACGGAUAAAAGGUACCUCGGGGAUAACAGGCUGAUCUUGCCCAAGAGUCCAUAUCGACGGCAUGGUUUGGCACCUCGAUGUCGGCUCGUCGCAUCCUGGGGCUGGAGUAGGUCCCAAGGGUUGGGCUGUUCGCCCAUUAAAGCGGUACGUGAGCUGGGUUUAGAACGUCGUGAGACAGUUCGGUCCCUAUCCGCUGCGCGCGUAGGAAAUUUGAGAGGAUCUGACCCUAGUACGAGAGGACCGGGUUGGACGAACCUCUGGUGUGCCAGUUGUUCUGCCAAGAGCACCGCUGGUUAGCUACGUUCGGGAUGGAUAACCGCUGAAAGCAUCUAAGCGGGAAGCCGGCCUCAAGAUGAGAUUUCCAUGCCUUCGGGCGAGAGGCUCCCAGCCAGACUACUGGGUUGAUAGGCCGGAUGUGGAAGCGCGGUAACGCGUGAAGCUGACCGGUACUAAUAAGCCGAUGACU
RNAcentral lists this ribosomal RNA (1424 nucleotides) under metagenome. Its description in RNAcentral is "bacterial LSU rRNA". It matches the Rfam family "Bacterial large subunit ribosomal RNA", at positions 1499 to 2925 of the family's 2925-position model. The record is from RNAcentral.